UACGAAGGGGGCUAGCGUUGCUCGGAUUUACUGGGCGUAAAGGGCGCGUAGGCGGCGUGGUAAGUCACUUGUGAAAUCUCUGAGCUUAACUCAGAACGGCCAAGUGAUACUGCUGUGCUGGAGUGCAGAAGGGGCAAUCGGAAUUCUUGGUGUAGCGGUGAAAUGCGUAGAGAUUGGAAAGAACACCGAUGGCGAAGGCACUUUACUGGGCUAUUACUAACACUCAGAGACGAAAGCUAGGGUAGCAAAUGGG
This 253-nucleotide ribosomal RNA is filed under the name uncultured bacterium. RNAcentral's name for it is "partial 16S ribosomal RNA". It matches the Rfam family "Bacterial small subunit ribosomal RNA", at positions 524 to 776 of the family's 1533-position model. The record is from RNAcentral.